UAAGCGACUAAGCGUACACGGUGGAUGCCCUGGCAGUCAGAGGCGAUGAAGGACGUGCUAAUCUGCGAUAAGCGUCGGUAAGGUGAUAUGAACCGUUAUAACCGGCGAUUUCCGAAUGGGGAAACCCAGUGUGUUUCGACACACUAUCAUUAACUGAAUCCAUAGGUUAAUGAGGCGAACCGGGGGAACUGAAACAUCUAAGUACCCCGAGGAAAAGAAAUCAACCGAGAUUCCCCCAGUAGCGGCGAGCGAACGGGGAGCAGCCCAGAGCCUGAAUCAGUGUGUGUGUUAGUGGAAGCGUCUGGAAAGGCGUGCGAUACAGGGUGACAGCCCCGUACACAAAAAUGCACAUGCUGUGAGCUCGAUGAGUAGGGCGGGACACGUGGUAUCCUGUCUGAAUAUGGGGGGACCAUCCUCCAAGGCUAAAUACUCCUGACUGACCGAUAGUGAACCAGUACCGUGAGGGAAAGGCGAAAAGAACCCCGGCGAGGGGAGUGAAAAAGAACCUGAAACCGUGUACGUACAAGCAGUGGGAGCACGCUUAGGCGUGUGACUGCGUACCUUUUGUAUAAUGGGUCAGCGACUUAUAUUCUGUAGCAAGGUUAACCGAAUAGGGGAGCCGAAGGGAAACCGAGUCUUAACUGGGCGUUAAGUUGCAGGGUAUAGACCCGAAACCCGGUGAUCUAGCCAUGGGCAGGUUGAAGGUUGGGUAACACUAACUGGAGGACCGAACCGACUAAUGUUGAAAAAUUAGCGGAUGACUUGUGGCUGGGGGUGAAAGGCCAAUCAAACCGGGAGAUAGCUGGUUCUCCCCGAAAGCUAUUUAGGUAGCGCCUCGUGAAUUCAUCUCCGGGGGUAGAGCACUGUUUCGGCAAGGGGGUCAUCCCGACUUACCAACCCGAUGCAAACUGCGAAUACCGGAGAAUGUUAUCACGGGAGACACACGGCGGGUGCUAACGUCCGUCGUGAAGAGGGAAACAACCCAGACCGCCAGCUAAGGUCCCAAAGUCAUGGUUAAGUGGGAAACGAUGUGGGAAGGCCCAGACAGCCAGGAUGUUGGCUUAGAAGCAGCCAUCAUUUAAAGAAAGCGUAAUAGCUCACUGGUCGAGUCGGCCUGCGCGGAAGAUGUAACGGGGCUAAACCAUGCACCGAAGCUGCGGCAGCGACGCUUAUGCGUUGUUGGGUAGGGGAGCGUUCUGUAAGCCUGUGAAGGUGUACUGUGAGGUAUGCUGGAGGUAUCAGAAGUGCGAAUGCUGACAUAAGUAACGAUAAAGCGGGUGAAAAGCCCGCUCGCCGGAAGACCAAGGGUUCCUGUCCAACGUUAAUCGGGGCAGGGUGAGUCGACCCCUAAGGCGAGGCCGAAAGGCGUAGUCGAUGGGAAACAGGUUAAUAUUCCUGUACUUGGUGUUACUGCGAAGGGGGGACGGAGAAGGCUAUGUUGGCCGGGCGACGGUUGUCCCGGUUUAAGCGUGUAGGCUGGUUUUCCAGGCAAAUCCGGAAAAUCAAGGCUGAGGCGUGAUGACGAGGCACUACGGUGCUGAAGCAACAAAUGCCCUGCUUCCAGGAAAAGCCUCUAAGCAUCAGGUAACAUCAAAUCGUACCCCAAACCGACACAGGUGGUCAGGUAGAGAAUACCAAGGCGCUUGAGAGAACUCGGGUGAAGGAACUAGGCAAAAUGGUGCCGUAACUUCGGGAGAAGGCACGCUGAUAUGUAGGUGAAGUCCCUCGCGGAUGGAGCUGAAAUCAGUCGAAGAUACCAGCUGGCUGCAACUGUUUAUUAAAAACACAGCACUGUGCAAACACGAAAGUGGACGUAUACGGUGUGACGCCUGCCCGGUGCCGGAAGGUUAAUUGAUGGGGUUAGCCGCAAGGCGAAGCUCUUGAUCGAAGCCCCGGUAAACGGCGGCCGUAACUAUAACGGUCCUAAGGUAGCGAAAUUCCUUGUCGGGUAAGUUCCGACCUGCACGAAUGGCGUAAUGAUGGCCAGGCUGUCUCCACCCGAGACUCAGUGAAAUUGAACUCGCUGUGAAGAUGCAGUGUACCCGCGGCAAGACGGAAAGACCCCGUGAACCUUUACUAUAGCUUGACACUGAACAUUGAGCCUUGAUGUGUAGGAUAGGUGGGAGGCUUUGAAGUGUGGACGCCAGUCUGCAUGGAGCCGACCUUGAAAUACCACCCUUUAAUGUUUGAUGUUCUAACGUUGACCCGUAAUCCGGGUUGCGGACAGUGUCUGGUGGGUAGUUUGACUGGGGCGGUCUCCUCCUAAAGAGUAACGGAGGAGCACGAAGGUUGGCUAAUCCUGGUCGGACAUCAGGAGGUUAGUGCAAUGGCAUAAGCCAGCUUGACUGCGAGCGUGACGGCGCGAGCAGGUGCGAAAGCAGGUCAUAGUGAUCCGGUGGUUCUGAAUGGAAGGGCCAUCGCUCAACGGAUAAAAGGUACUCCGGGGAUAACAGGCUGAUACCGCCCAAGAGUUCAUAUCGACGGCGGUGUUUGGCACCUCGAUGUCGGCUCAUCACAUCCUGGGGCUGAAGUAGGUCCCAAGGGUAUGGCUGUUCGCCAUUUAAAGUGGUACGCGAGCUGGGUUUAGAACGUCGUGAGACAGUUCGGUCCCUAUCUGCCGUGGGCGCUGGAGAACUGAGGGGGGCUGCUCCUAGUACGAGAGGACCGGAGUGGACGCAUCACUGGUGUUCGGGUUGUCAUGCCAAUGGCACUGCCCGGUAGCUAAAUGCGGAAGAGAUAAGUGCUGAAAGCAUCUAAGCACGAAACUUGCCCCGAGAUGAGUUCUCCCUGACUCCUUGAGAGUCCUGAAGGAACGUUGAAGACGACGACGUUGAUAGGCCGGGUGUGUAAGCGCAGCGAUGCGUUGAGCUAACCGGUACUAAUGAACCGUGAGGCUUAACCU
This 2902-nucleotide ribosomal RNA is filed under the name Escherichia coli 3-373-03_S4_C2. RNAcentral's name for it is "bacterial LSU rRNA". It matches the Rfam family "Bacterial large subunit ribosomal RNA". Lineage: Bacteria; Pseudomonadati; Pseudomonadota; Gammaproteobacteria; Enterobacterales; Enterobacteriaceae. The record is from RNAcentral.